UCAUGACCCGAGCCGAAGGCAGAUGCUUACCCGACUCAGCCACCCAGGUGCCCGCCAGCUCAAAUUCUGCCCAGUUCUCUGACUCAUGGACCGAAGAGUAGGUUCUCAUAACCCCCCGGAGAUGACGAGUCCUCAGAGAGAAUCCCCUGGUGAGUUUCUGCAGGGGAAAGAGGAAGAAUUAAGUUGGGUGAGGACUGACCAAGCACGGAGCCCAGCACCAGGUUCUGGAAGGUCAAAUCUGGACUCCAUGGCGUUGCACCUGGACUCCUGGCACGGCUGAGGCAAUAUUCGGGAGGGAGAGGAGAGUCGUUCAUUCACUGCCUGCCUUGCCCAGACAAUGAGCUCUGCUCCUACCCACUCUGGGGAAGUUGCUGAGGACAUAAAAUAAAUCAGGAUGGAAGCCAGACACCAUGCCUCUUUACUCCUCAUUCGUACUUAGUUUUUCCUUCAUAUAAAUUUGGGUUUCGUGCCUCUCACUUUGUGGGCUAUGUCAGUGCUCCAAAGAGGCUCGUGAAGGGGACCAGCUGCCCGGAUACCAGCAGGAGCUGCUGUAGCUACAGAUUUGAGGCGCACACCUGCAUGGAGUUGGGUGACAGGGGAUUUGUCAGGGAAGGGCGGAUCAUGCAACAUCAGGGCUCUCAAGCCAGAGGGAUGGAUGGCUCGGGGGUGGCAAAUGGGAUAUCCCGCUGCUCACCUGGAGGUCAUGGGAUCACACCUGACUUGAAUUAGUCAAAAGGAUUCCAGGAUGAGGGUGAGUUGGUCGUUUAUGAAUGAGAUGAUUAGCUGGCUGUAACA
Leptonychotes weddellii (Weddell seal) is the source of this 795-nucleotide non-coding RNA. NCBI's taxonomy places the organism in Eukaryota, Metazoa, Chordata, Mammalia, Carnivora, Phocidae. The record is from RefSeq and is a predicted model, not a curated record.